This 686-nucleotide unclassified non-coding RNA is filed under the name uncultured Prochlorococcus sp. Its description in RNAcentral is "partial may contain 16S ribosomal RNA, 16S-23S ribosomal RNA intergenic spacer, and 23S ribosomal RNA". The stretch from base 1 to 97 matches the Rfam family "Bacterial small subunit ribosomal RNA", at positions 1437 to 1533 of the family's 1533-position model. The record is from RNAcentral. Lineage: Bacteria; Bacillati; Cyanobacteriota; Cyanophyceae; Synechococcales; Prochlorococcaceae.
ACCCUUGUGGAGGAGGACGCCGAAGGUGGGGCUAAUGACUGGGGUGAAGUCGUAACAAGGUAGCCGUACCGGAAGGUGCGGCUGGAUCACCUCCUAACAGGGAGACAACAAAAUGUUUAAUAUUAUUAUUUUGUCACCUUAGGUCGAUCGGUAUCUCACGUUCUUAAUUUAUUAAGAAUUUCAUUUCCUAAGUUUUUCUAGGUCACACCCAUUAUUUUUCCUGGGCCAUUAGCUCAGGUGGUUAGAGCGCACCCCUGAUAAGGGUGAGGUCCCUGGUUCAAGUCCAGGAUGGCCCAUAUCUCUAUGUUGGGGGUAUAGCUCAGUUGGUAGAGCGCCUGCUUUGCAAGCAGGAUGUCAGCGGUUCGAGUCCGCUUACCUCCACUGAUUACCACCUCUUCCAUAACCGGUAGAAAGGAAAUUUUUUGAGUUGUGAUCAUUAUUCUGAACGAAUCUAGCUUCCUAAUGAAAUCAUUAAGAUGCUGGACUCAUUGAAUUAAUUUCAUUGUUUUCAGAGAACCUUGACAACUGCAUAGAUUAUUUUUAAAGACAAUAAGCAUCUUUAAUGAUGCAGAUUUAUUAUUUGUGCGAAUGCAUUAAUAACAAUUCUAUUAAGCUGAUGCUUCAAUUAUUGAAGUUAUUGGUCAAGCUACAAAGGGCUCACGGAGGAUACCUAGGCACACAGAGGC